CGAGAGAGUUUGCAAGAACUCCCCCAAACCCAUUGUGAACAUACCUGUAGUUUGCUUCGGCAGGCGGUCCCCGGGGGGGACCUCCAGCCUGCCUCCGGGCGGGUGCCUGCCGCAAGGCCACUAUAAACUCUGUUAUACCAAUUGUCUGAGAACAAGAAGCCCGCUGAAAAGCAGGGUAAAUCUAGUUA
RNAcentral lists this unclassified non-coding RNA (188 nucleotides) under uncultured Sordariomycetes. RNAcentral describes it as "sequence contains ITS1". Lineage: Eukaryota; Fungi; Ascomycota; Sordariomycetes. The record is from RNAcentral.